CCCGCUUGCGGGGUGGAUCAGUGGCGAACGGGUGAGUAACACGUGAGCAACCUGCCCCUGACUCUGGGAUAAGCGCUGGAAACGGCGUCUAAUACUGGAUACGAGACGUGAUCGCAUGGUCAACGUUUGGAAAGAUUUUUCGGUUGGGGAUGGGCUCGCGGCCUAUCAGCUUGUUGGUGAGGUAAUGGCUCACCAAGGCGUCGACGGGUAGCCGGCCUGAGAGGGUGACCGGCCACACUGGGACUGAGACACGGCCCAGACUCCUACGGGAGGCAGCAGUGGGGAAUAUUGCACAAUGGGCGCAAGCCUGAUGCAGCAACGCCGCGUGAGGGAUGACGGCCUUCGGGUUGUAAACCUCUUUUAGCAGGGAAGAAGCGAGAGUGACGGUACCUGCAGAAAAAGCACCGGCUAACUACGUGCCAGCAGCCGCGGUAAUACGUAGGGUGCAAGCGUUAUCCGGAAUUAUUGGGCGUAAAGAGCUCGUAGGCGGUUUGUCGCGUCUGCUGUGAAAUCUGGGGGCUCAACCCCCAGCCUGCAGUGGGUACGGGCAGACUAGAGUGCGGUAGGGGAGAUUGGAAUUCCUGGUGUAGCGGUGGAAUGCGCAGAUAUCAGGAGGAACACCGAUGGCGAAGGCAGAUCUCUGGGCCGUAACUGACGCUGAGGAGCGAAAGGGUGGGGAGCAAACAGGCUUAGAUACCCUGGUAGUCCACCCCGUAAACGUUGGGAACUAGUUGUGGGGUCCAUUCCACGGAUUCCGUGACGCAGCUAACGCAUUAAGUUCCCCGCCUGGGGAGUACGGCCGCAAGGCUAAAACUCAAAGGAAUUGACGGGGACCCGCACAAGCGGCGGAGCAUGCGGAUUAAUUCGAUGCAACGCGAAGAACCUUACCAAGGCUUGACAUAUACGAGAACGGGCCAGAAAUGGUCAACUCUUUGGACACUCGUAAACAGGUGGUGCAUGGUUGUCGUCAGCUCGUGUCGUGAGAUGUUGGGUUAAGUCCCGCAACGAGCGCAACCCUCGUUCUAUGUUGCCAGCACGUAAUGGUGGGAACUCAUGGGAUACUGCCGGGGUCAACUCGGAGGAAGGUGGGGAUGACGUCAAAUCAUCAUGCCCCUUAUGUCUUGGGCUUCACGCAUGCUACAAUGGCCGGUACAAUGGGCUGCAAUACCGUGAGGUGGAGCGAAUCCCAAAAAGCCGGUCCCAGUUCGGAUUGAGGUCUGCAACUCGACCUCAUGAAGUCGGAGUCGCUAGUAAUCGCAGAUCAGCAACGCUGCGGUGAAUACGUUCCCGGGUCUUGUACACACCGCCCGUCAAGUCAUGAAAGUCGGUAACACCUGAAGCCGGUGGCCUAACCCC
This 1356-nucleotide ribosomal RNA is filed under the name Microbacterium sp. MCCC 1A10677. RNAcentral's name for it is "bacterial SSU rRNA". It matches the Rfam family "Bacterial small subunit ribosomal RNA", at positions 75 to 1442 of the family's 1533-position model. Lineage: Bacteria; Bacillati; Actinomycetota; Actinomycetes; Micrococcales; Microbacteriaceae. The record is from RNAcentral.